This 252-nucleotide ribosomal RNA is filed under the name uncultured Bacteroidales bacterium. Its description in RNAcentral is "partial 16S ribosomal RNA". It matches the Rfam family "Bacterial small subunit ribosomal RNA", at positions 524 to 776 of the family's 1533-position model. Lineage: Bacteria; Pseudomonadati; Bacteroidota; Bacteroidia; Bacteroidales. The record is from RNAcentral.
UACGGAGGAUGCGAGCGUUAUCCGGAUUUAUUGGGUUUAAAGGGUGCGCAGGCGGCGAGUUAAGUCAGCGGUAAAAUUUCGGGGCUCAACCCCGGCGAGCCGUUGAAACUGGCGGGCUGGAGUUGGAGAGAAGUACGCGGAAUGCGCGGUGUAGCGGUGAAAUGCUUAGAUAUCGCGCAGAACUCCGAUUGCGAAGGCAGCGUACCGGCGCCGGACUGACGCUGAGGCACGAAAGCGUGGGUAUCGAACAGG